GGCAUAUAGAAUUUCCUGGGCUAGGGGUUGAAUCAGAGCUGUAGCUGUUGGCCAACACCCCAGCCACAGCAACAGAGGACCCAAACCACAUCAGCAAGCUACACUGCAGCUUGCAGCUACACCAGAUCCUUAACCCACUGAUCGAGGCCAGGAAUCAAACACACAUCCUCUCAGACACUAUGUCAGGUUCUUAACCUGCUGAGCCACAAUGGAAAUUCCCAGGAUUAUCUUUUACAAACAUAAAUAGACAUUUCACCUCUUAAAGCUCUCCAAUGGCUUCCUAUCACACUUAAAGUUCAAACUCCUUGGCUUUCGGGCUCUACAUGACCUGGCCAUACCCACCUCUCAGAAGUCAAUUUCCCAUCAUCUUCAUUUUGCUCACUAUGCUCCAGCUGUACCAGCUUUCCUUCAGCUCCUUGAACAUUUUAAGCUAUGCUCCAUCUACCUAGGACCUUUGCACUUGUUUUCCAUCCCCAACCUCUACCCUAGAUCUUCACUGUUAACUUGUUACUCAGGGAGGAACUCAAAAUAUCACCUCCUUCAAAAGGCUUUCCUUAUCACCUGAAUUAAACUAGCUCCCCAAUCGCAAGACCUAAUUAUCUUAUACUGUAUGCUUAUCAUCUUUCCUUCCAUUAUAAUAAUAGCUCCUUGAAAGAAGAAAGUUUUUCUGUCUUUAUCAUUACUGUAGCUUGAAUUUCUGGAACAGGGUAUGCCAUGAGAAAGCUAUAAAAACUGUUGAUAGAAAGAAUGGAUGGAUGGAUGAAUACAAUAAAAGGGAACUUUGGAAUCUUAUUGUGAGAACUAUAUAGGAAACAUUUACUUUUAUGAAUGAGAAAGAUAAACUUAAUAACAGAGAAAGCAGAUUUACAAAACUUCCUGGGGGAUUUGAUAAGUUGUGAUGGACAACUGAAAACUUAAGGAAGAACUGCCUCAUGCAGAGACAAGGCCAAUAGUGUAAGUUAGCAAAGACUGAAAAGCUCAUUUACUCCCUAGAUGAUAUCCUCUCCCUGCCUUCCUCUCUGGCUGAAAUCCCUUCCAUCAGAUUAGUGACUUUGGGUGAAACAUGUGCCCAGUGGUCUCUUGAGUCCAGAAAUCAAAUCUACAACCUCCUAGUAACUUCUCAAGCUCUUGAUGCAGUUCUAUUUUCAUAUCACAUUCUCUCUCCCUUGCUCCUGACAAUACGACUUCUACUCCCCAUCAUUCUACUGAAAUUGUUCUCUCCAUAUUUUUGUUGGUUUCCUAAUUCUCAGUCAUGAUUCCCUCUGGCCUUAUCAUACCCCACUACUAACCACUCCUUUCUUGUUCUGUGACUUUCAUGGCACUGGACUUCUGGUUCUCUUUCUCCACUACUGAUGCCUUUCUCCUAUGUACUGAAUCUUUGUCCUUGACAUUCUCCAAGGUUUACAUCUUUACCCUCUAUUCUGUAUUAUACACAGGCUAACUACAGUGUGAAGUCAUCUAUUUAGACAGCUUAACACUGAAUCCAAAUCUUCUCCAGAACCAACUUUCUUUCCAGAUUUCCCUAUUUGCAACAUCAUAUUCAUUACCACACUUAAAAAAACAAACAAGAAAAACAAAAACAAACAAACAAAAAACCUUAAAAAGCAUCCUGGAUUUCUUCCUCUUCUCCUAAUCUCUCCCCCAGAAACAUUCAAUUUUCAUUUUAUUGUAUUUUUCACGUAAGUCCCUUUCUAUUAUUAUUAACAUCAAUUAAUUCUUCCAUUUCCAGUCUCUUACCUGUUCCAGUAAAUCCAGGGAACUUAAUUUUGAAAUGUGCUUUGCCUACAUGACUCUAUUGCUCAAAAACCAUUUUUGACUCCCAUUGCCUAUUCAAUAAACUCUGAACUCCUUGCUCAGGACAACACCUACCUAAAUUUUGGUCUUCAUUCCUCCACUAGCAUCACUUGCCCCUGCUCCUGACAUAAAACUUCUGCUCCUACUGAACGCUUAGCUCUCUGACUGCUCUCCUCCCUUAAUACAUCUUCCCUCCAUUUAAAGUCUGGGCAUAAUAAGGGGCAAAGGAUCUUGACUAUAAUCUAUCUUAAUGAAUUAUCAACUGCCUAAAUUUGUACUGUCCAGUAUGGUAGCCACCAGCUAGCCACAACAUGGCUCCUAAACACUGAAAAAUGGCUAUUGGGACAGAAGACCUGAAUUAUUAAUUUUAAUUUAACUAUUUAAAAAUGAAUACUCAAUUCAGUUACUGGGAAACUUUCAAACAUAUCUGCAAUAACUUGGAUAUACAAAUCUGUUUUUUUCGACUGCCAAUUUUAUAAGAUCUAAAUACGAUUGAGUAUUUGUGAUGAUAUUUUAGGGGCCCAGUUGAGAUGUGCUGUAAGUUUUCAAACACACCAGAGUUUGAAAACUUAAUUUGAAAAAAAGAAUGCAAAGCAUCUCUUAAAAUUUUUUGUUCUGAUUACGUGUUAAAAUCAUACCCUUUUGAAUAUAUUGGGUUUAAUAAAAUUAAAAUUGAUAUUAAUUUUACCUCUUGUUUUACUUUUUUGAAAUAUUGUAACCAGAAAAUUUGAAGUACACUUGUGGCUCAUAUAGUACAUCUUCUGGACCAUGUUCUUCUAGGAUCAUCUUUGUAAAAAUGUCUUCAUAGCCAUAAAGGCUUCUAAACUGAUUCCAAGGCCCAGCCUUGAUUGAAUGAAUCAUAAUUUCUAGAGAGGGUCCUGGAAUUGGUGGCUCUAAUAAAUGCCCCUGGAGAUUCUAAUCAUGAGAUAAAUUUGGGAAAUCAUCCCUAAGUGAUGGCCUCUACCUCUACCACAGCUUUUGUUAUCUUCAUCACUCACUUAGUAUAUUCCUUUAUUACACACUGUCUCUUGCUAGCAUUCUAUGUUGCACAUGUAUAUUCCCAAGUAGACAGAAAGUGCUCAGAAAAAAAUAAAUGUAGUAAUUAUAGCUAACAUGUAUCAAGUGCUAAUAAUAAGGUGCCAAGUACCCUCUCAGAGGCUCUAUGUUUAUUUUCUCAUUUAAUUUAAUAGUAGCACCUAUAGUGCAGUGAGGUGGGUUCUAGAGGAGAUAGGAAUUUAGGCCACACAGCUACUUCCUGAUGCAGCCAAGAGCUGGACCUCUUCUGUCCAACUCCAAGGCCAAUCUUCUACAUAAUAUAGCCUAGGUACCUAGUGUUGGUACUUGCUUGUAAAGGAUGUUUAAUAAAUGUGACUAAUUGUAACACUCAGUACCCCAAAAAGAAAUAUGGGGAUACUCAGUAAGUGCUAGAGGUGCCUUCUGCAUACAGGAAGCAGAAGAGGCAGGAAUGUGCUUGCUUCAUUCGUGCUCAAGUGAAGCGCCUGUCCCCUGUCAACGGAGCAACUGCUGUGAUUUACAAGGCACUGGUUUCUGAUGAAGAGCUCCCAGCCUCCAGAAUUCUGUAAUAGGAGCACCUGUUCCAGAGCCCCAGAGGGUGCAACUGGAGCUCUGUGUGAGGGGAUUGUUUGGGGGUGUGCAACAUUAGAGAAAGCUAUGCAGCACUUGUCAGUGGGCCAAGGAGCAGACCAGCUGAAGCCAUGAUGCCAAGGAACAUUCUGUCCAGGCUGUGUGGAUGUUAAGAUUCCCAGAAAGAAAAAAAGAAAUGUUGGGUUGGAAGCUGAAGCAAGAUUCACCAGGCUUGUACAAGGCAUUUAGCUUUUAGUUGUUAUAAAAAUGAAAAUAAUUGUGAAAGCAGAGAGAAAUCUGCAGCUGCUUGGGGCUAUUCAUACCAUAAGAGAUCCCACCAGGCCCUCUUUAUUGUUGCAGUUUUGGCAAAUUAUUUUCUUAUCACACACAACCUCCUCACUUCUGUUCCUGGAUAAGCACUUAGGCUCAUAAAGCUGUGGGUCAGCCACAGUUGAGCAUCCAGCCCACGGAACAGCCGGCCAUGGGGAGCUCUGGGGCCCGCCCCUCUGAAAAGCAGCAACUGGAGUCCAUAAAAAACUAGCCUGGCUGGUCCAUUAGUGGUUCUGGGUCUGGAGCUCUGGCCUGGAUCACCCGCCCCCUUCGGCAGAGCCUCACCUGCAGAGAGGGCUGAGCUGCGAGGGCCAGACCAGGGGCCACAUCCCUGGGUGCUGAGCCCCUAGUGGCUUCCAGGGCAAGGGGCAGGUGCACGAGCUGGCCCUCAGCUGCCAGGGACUGGCCGGCCACAGACAGAGGGGCCUGGUGCCCACCACACAUGUGCGUUGGACAAAUGCGCUGGCAUCUCCGGCGUGGGCAAAGAGCAUGCCGCUUCCAUUAUCCCGGCCCAUUAGGGAAGCAAUUGGAAAAAAAACAUUUAGCAAUUUGGACAGGAGUGAGACUGCAGAAUGGCUCGUUUCUCUGUGACAGCCUGCCACGUACAGAUGAAAGGGAAGGCUUAUAACAAAUUUUCAUUACCCCCAAAUAAAACAGCAACAGCAGGCAAAGCAAGGGCUUUGAGGCUGAGAGGUGGGGCCAGAAAUCCACCCAGAAGACCACAAAGGAGCCUCAGCAAAACAAAUCAAUCACUCUCUCAGUCACUUCCACUUGCCGAGCUCGGCUCAUGCAAAUGACAAUCAGGCCUGUCAGCCUGUCAGGCUUUGGCCUUGAGCUCCUUGCCUCACACUAUUCAUUAUGUGCACCAAAAUACAACCUGCUGGCUCUCCUCUUGCCCAACGCCCUUGCUCACCUGCCCUCAGUAGUCUAUGCUCGGCAGGAAAACCCACUGCCAACCUGGAAAGCAGUGAUUUGGUAAAGAGGAGAGACCAGGGGUUUACAAAUAGCACCAGAGUCGUUGCAUUUUGCUUUGCUUCCAGCUUUAGCUAACACAGGAGAGAAAUCCAACCUUAGAUUCAGAAGGGCAAAGGCCCUGAGGGCUCCCGGGUGCUCAGCUUCUUCGGUGCUCCCCCCACUCCCAAUUCAAGUUCUGCAGAGAGACUCCCAGACACCCACUAAGCACAGACCCCGAAUCAAACCCCUGCCUCUGAAUAUCCUACACAGACCUCACAGCCCACUCCUGCUCUAAUGAGCCUGGCUGCCCGCAGAGCUGUAUAAUACAUUGAGCCUUUGACCUUAUUAGAAGACAACUACACAAAUACUGCCUUUUCCUGGCCUGGGUGUCUGUCCACAGGUAUCCUCAGCACGUUUACCAUGGCAGAUAAAAAUGAAGUGUGGCGGGGGGUUGCAGGCAGGAUGUUGAAUAAGACCAGGUCUGGAACAGAGAGACUUUCCAUUCCACAAUUUCAUUAUCAACAGCUUCAAAAACACAUGUUAUUAAACAUCUGGGUUUCUGUGACAUCGAAGACUGCACAGAGAAUGGAAUAAAUGGGAUUCCAUAAAUGGGGGGUCUAAGGCUAGCUCCCCUUUGGGAUGGCUAGUGUUGACAGCUAAAGGACAGAGUCUGGUCACAGCCCCAAGAAUACCAAGGGAGGGCCCCCACUGUUACUAUUUCUAUUUGUAUGAGAUUAAAACAAACUUGUCUGCAAAUAAAUAGCAUACAUGUGAAAAGUGUAUAAAAGAUUUUUCAGUUUCCCUUAUGGGACAUUUAUUACACCAAGGAUUUGUGAUAUUUGAGGUGCAUGAAUACAGGUAACCAUUCAGAGUUCAGAGGAGGACUAUCCCUUAACAGCCAAGUGAUCAGAAAAGGAUUCACUAAGGACAAGAUAGAUUUGAUGAGCAUCUUCUAUGUGCCAAGCCCCUUAGAUAGAUUGUCUUUUUGAAUAGGUAACUGAGAGCCCACAAAUUUUUCUAAUGUGCCAAAGGCUGUGUAGUCAGAGAGGGACAGGGCCAGGAGGAAGAGUACAGACUAGGUAGGAGUGUUGGUGUGGGACAACCACGGCGCCAAGGUACAGAGAGAGAAAAUCUAGCUCUGCAGCUAAGCACCUCCUCUGCCCCAAGAGCUAUCAGAGGCACCACUAUCAUAAAACUCUGCUAUGAAUGGGUAGCAGGUUGUCACAGAAAGAGGGUAUCAUAACUGGGAUGGAGAAAAAAUAAGUUUGAGUAACAGUGGUAUGCUGGCUUGACUAAGGAACUGGCCAGAAAUUUCUUUCUCUUAUACACAAAGAUGCAGAGCUGGUGUUCAGAGGACUGAAUACUGGACUUUUCCAUAUCCUCUAGUUUUUUCAGUCCAAUAGACUAUAGUCAUGAGAUCAAGGAAUGAGAGGUCGGAUUAAAGUUAAGAAUUCUUGAAACAACCCAAGUGUCCAUUGGCAAAUGAAAAUGUGGAGUAUUGGAGUUCCCGUCAUGGCGCAGUGGUUAAUGAAUCCAACUAGGAACCAUGAGGUUGCGGGUUCAAUCCCUGGCCUUGCUCAGUGGGUUAAGGAUCUGGCGUUGCCUUGAGCUGUGGUGUAGGUCACAGACACAGCUCGGAUCUGGCGUUGCUAUGGCUCUGGCAUAGGCUGGUAGCUGCAGCUCCAAUUAGACCCCUAGUCUGGGAAACCUCCUUAUGCCUCAGGUGCAGCCCUAGAAAAGACAAAAAAUUAAAAAAUUAAAUAAAUAAAAUAAAAUAAAAUGUGGAAUAUUUAUAUAUAUUAUAGUGUUAGGCAGCCAUAAAAAAGAAAGAAAUCCUGCCAUUUACAACAACAUGGAUGAACCUCGCGGGCAUUACACUAAGUGGAACAGGUCAGACAGAGAAAAACAAAUACCAUAUGAUCUCACUUAUAAGUGGAAUCUAAAAAAAUUAAAAGAGAACUCAUGGAUACAGAGAACAGACUGGUAGUUGCUAGAGGUGGAGGCUGGGUGGAGGGGGAAGUGCCAAAUGGGUGAAGGUGGUCAAAAUGCGAAAACUUGCGGUUAUAAAAUAAGUUCUGGACAUGUAAUGUACAGUAUGGUGACUAAAGUUAACAAUACUGUGUCAUGCAUUUCAAAGCUGCUGAGAGAAUAAGCCUUAAAAGUACUCAUCAUAGAGAAAAAUAAUUAUGUGUGGUAACAGAUGUUAACUAGACUUGUGGUGAUCAAUUCACAACAUACACAAAUAUUGAAUCAUUGUGUUGCACACUUGAAACUAAUAUAAUUAUAUGUCAAUUAUAUCUCAAUUUAAAAUAAAUAAAAAUACGGAAAAAAAUAUUUUUUUUCUUUUUAGGGCCAC
This 7018-nucleotide long non-coding RNA is filed under the name Sus scrofa (pig). RNAcentral's name for it is "lncRNA (ENSSSCG00000062727.1)". The record is from RNAcentral. Lineage: Eukaryota; Metazoa; Chordata; Mammalia; Artiodactyla; Suidae.